This 164-nucleotide non-coding RNA is filed under the name Oesophagostomum dentatum (nodular worm). RNAcentral describes it as "Eukaryotic large subunit ribosomal RNA". The stretch from base 22 to 139 matches the Rfam family "Eukaryotic large subunit ribosomal RNA", at positions 2200 to 2317 of the family's 3401-position model. Lineage: Eukaryota; Metazoa; Nematoda; Chromadorea; Rhabditida; Strongylidae. The record is from Rfam by way of RNAcentral.
CGUUUACUGUCUCUGAUUUCUGCCCAGUGCUCUGAAUGUUAAAUCGUAGUAAUUCGAGUAAGCGCGGGUAAACGGCGGGAGUAACUAUGACUCUCUUAAGGUAGCCAAAUGCCUCGUCAGCUAACUACUGACGCGCAUGGUCCUCAUAGCUGCCACCUCCACGU